CACGUAGGCGGAUUGCUAAGUCAGGGGUGAAAUCCCUGGAGCUCAACUCCAGAACUGCCUUUGAUACUGGCGAUCUCGAGUCCGGGAGAGGUGAGUGGAACUGCGAGUGUAGAGGUGAAAUUCGUAGAUAUUCGCAAGAACACCAGUGGCGAAGGCGGCUCACUGGCCCGGUACUGACGCUGAGGUGCGAAAGCGUAGGGGAGCAAACAGGAUUAGAUACCCUGGUAGUCCACGCCGUAAACGAUGGAUGCUAGCCGUUGGUGGGUUUACUCAUCAGUGGCGCAGCUAACGCAUUAAGCAUCCCGCCUGGGGAGUACGGUCGCAAGAUUAAA
RNAcentral lists this ribosomal RNA (332 nucleotides) under uncultured bacterium. Its description in RNAcentral is "bacterial SSU rRNA". It matches the Rfam family "Bacterial small subunit ribosomal RNA", at positions 568 to 898 of the family's 1533-position model. The record is from RNAcentral.